Molecule: ribosomal RNA, 458 nt
Filed under: uncultured bacterium
Lineage: Bacteria
Description: partial 16S ribosomal RNA
Rfam family: Bacterial small subunit ribosomal RNA
Source: RNAcentral
GAUGAACGCUGGCGGCGUGCCUAAUACAUGCAAGUCGAGCGGUAAGGCCACUUCGGUGGUACACGAGCGGCGGACGGCUGAGUAACACGUAGGAACAUACCCCAAACUGAGGGAUAACUGCCCGAAAGGGUAGCUAAUACCGCCUGUGCUCUUCGGAGUAAAGCUACGGCGGUUUGGGAAUGGCCUGCGUCCGAUUAGCUAGUUGGUGAGGUAAUUGCUCACCAAGGCGACGAUCGGUAGCUGGUCUGAGAGGAUGAUCAGCCAGACUGGGACUGAGAACGGCCCAGACUCCUACGGGAGGCAGCAGUAGGGAAUUUUCCACAAUGGACGAAAGUCUGAUGGAGCAACGCCGCGUGCAGGAUGAAGGCUUUCGGGUCGUAAACUGCUUUUAUCUGUGAAGAUUAUGACGGUAGCAGAUGAAUAAGGAUCGGCUAACUCCGUGCCAGCAGCCGCCGUAA